AAAAUUUCAAAAGUGUUUACACUUUUUUCUCCUUCAAUAUUUUAAAAUUGCGAUUGUCACGGCUGAAACCGCCUUAUCAUGUUAUUAAACGAGGUCUUAAAACUAAUUAAGAUAUCUACUAUAUUAUCCAAAAGAUCGAUCUGGUAGAAAAUAUGGGAGCUUACCCGAUGUGCUCGUAGUCAUGGCCGAGGGUGCAGAGGAAGUACUUGAGGACAAGGUCGUCGGCGGCAGCGGCGGCAUUGGCGGGGGAGAAGCGGAAGGAGAGGGUCUCCUUCCAGGGGAGCUUCUCGGAGAAGCGGCCGGUGAAGCUGCUGGCGUAGCCGCAGCUGUCCCCGGGCCGCCGCUGCGCGCGCUGCUUCUCCGGGAGCGGUGUCGCGAAGAACGCGGCGGCGCAGCGGUGCGCCUCGGCCAGCAGCCGCGCGGGCACGCCGUGGUUCACCACCUGGAAGAAGCCGUGCCGCUCGCAGGCCCAGCGCACGAGCGCCGCCGCCUCCGCCGCCGCCCCGGGCGCGCCGGAGAGGAACGCGCCGAGGUCGACCGACGGCACCCCCAGCUCCUCCUCCCCCGCCUCCGCCGCCGGCGCCUCCUCCGCCGGCCACACGAACUGCGCCGGGAUGUCGGCCUGCCGGCUCAGCACCGCCGCGUCGAACACCAGAGACGACGACGACGACGACGAAGAAGAAGAAGAAGAAGAAGAAGAAGGUGGUGGCGGCAUCGACGUCGGCAUUGAAGGUGGAGCAGAGGAGGAGGAGGAGGAGGAGAAGGUGGUGGGGGGAGGAGAGAGGAGAGGGAGGUGGGCCAUGGACGUGAGCCUUGGAGAGGCAAUGGCCAUGGAGAAGUGUAGAUAUAUAUAUAUAUAUAUAUAUAGAUUAUAGAGAGAGAGAGAGAGAGAGAGAGAGAGAGAGAGUGUAGGCGUGUGAUGUGUGGUGAUUUAGCUUUCUAUAUCCACUCUCUGGUUGUUGCAAUUUCUCUAUUCUUAUAUAUAUAUAUAUAUAUAUAUAUAUAUAUUAUAAAAGGAGAUAUUCUCUGUACGACCAAAAAAUUUUGAGUAAGCAUAAAUUUUUUUUCUGUUGUAAACACAAAGAGGAAUUAAAAGUUUGUUUAAUUCUGUUAUUUAUUUUACGUAUGAAUAGAGAAAGAAUUAUUUUAUUCCCGCCAAAAAAAAUGAGUCUAGCUCGGACAGAAGGUCGAAAUUUAAAAUACGUGGCUUUAUAUAUAUAUAUAUAUAUAUAUGGAGAGAGAGAGAGGGGGAGGGUGAGGUUUGAUCAGCUGUUGUGUACGAAAAAAUCUACAGUUUCACACUUACAGCUCAUUAUCAAUAAUAAGUUAAUUAUAUUUUUUUUAUAAAAAUAUUAAUAAAAAUAUUUUUUUAUAAUUAUGAUGGUGCACAUAAAUUCAAAAAAAAUUAUUUGAUUGGUUCGGAACGUCAUGUCACCAAUAUAAUUGAUACAUUCUAAAAUUUUUUCUUAUAUAGAUAAUUUUUAUAAUUAAUUAAUAAGAAAAAUUUUAAAUAUCAUUUUUGUGAUUUCGCACUUUCUUAUUUUAAUACCUUAUGGUUUAAAGUGUAUCAUUUUCGUACUCCGUGAUUUUAUUUUUCUCUUUUUGUCUAUAUAUUACGGAUACUUCUAUAAAUCUCACGUCCGUAUUAGAUACGCGUGUGUACACUUUUUAAACGAGUGUUAACUGACAAUUCAUAACGCAAACAAUUAAAAAAAUAUAUAUACAUAUUUUUAUUUUACUUUUUUUAUGCAUAUAUAACAUAAGAUGGCAAAUAUUUUAGUUUUUUAAUGAAUGCAAACAAAUUUUUUUUCAUAAUAUAAAUAAAUUAUAUAUACCGGAGAAUUUUUAUUUUAUUACUAAUGAAAAUUUUACUAACUUUCAUUUAUAUAUAUAUAAGAAAUAUAAUAAUAUUUUACGAAAAUUAAUAUUUCAUACUAAUAAAUAUAUAUUAUUAUAUUAAUAAUAUUAUAUUUUAUUAGCGGCAUCUAUAUCGUGUCUGUAUCCUAAUUUUUUGAAAAAUGACAAGUCGCCGUUUCCGAGUUGUGUCGCGUCCCUUAUCCCGUAUCAGUGUCCGUGACGCUUAGCUUUUUGUUAUCUCCUUCAAUAAUUUUUUUUGUUAAAUUAGUGACAUAGUUAAAACGAAAGGCCAGUAAAAUGAAUAUUCGAUAAAUUAUAGGUAGAGUAUCUGAAAUUUUUUAUAUGUGAUUUAACAAAAAGUUAACGAAAGAACCGACGAAAAGAAAAAAAUAAAACCACAGAAUAUUAAAUUGAUACAUCUUAAACUACAGAAUAUUAAAGUAAGAAAGUGUAAAACAACAUAGACGGUAUUUGAAGUUUACCCAAAUUAAUAACUCUCUUUUUUGGUGUCUUAUCAUAUGGGUAAUCUCCUGAUAACUCAAAAUAAAUGCGACAUAGCAGUUGAUCAGUCAAUUUUUUAUAAAUUUUAAAUAUUAUAUUAAAAUUUUGACUCAUGAAAUGUAUUUUACGAGAUAUUUUAGAGCCCAAUUGAGCUGACUCAGUAGGAAAAAAAAAAAAGAAUUUAACGGGUUUGAGGUGUCGAUCAAAUAAUUCUUUACGAUGGAAUAUUUAUAGAAUCCUAUCGAAGAACAUUGGCUCUCUAUAACAAUUAUAACAUGUAGGAUUUAUUCGUGGCCGACCCAGUUGAUAUGUAUUAGAUGGAAAAAAAAAGGUUAAACUUUAAAUAACAUCCACGUGGUUUCAUACUUUUUCACUUUAGUGCUCUGCGAUUUAAAGUGUAUCGAGUUAGUGUCCUGUGGUUUCAUUUUUAUCUUUUCAUCAGCUUUUUCGUUAAUUCUUUAUUAAAUUUAUACAAAAAAUUUCAAAUACCCACCUAAUUUUGUUGAAUAUUCAUUUUAAUACCCUUUAGUUUUAACUUUAUCACUGAUUUAGCGAAAAUCAGUGGAAUCGAUAAUAAAAAGAUAAAAAUGAAAUCACAGGACACUAAAUUGAUACACUUUAAAACAUAUGGUACUAAAGUGAGAAAGUGUGAAACCACAUUGUUGGUAUGUGAAGUUUUCCAAAAAAAAAAGAGGCUAAAUUAUAGAAAACUCUCUAUCAAAAUCCGAUUUUUUACUUUCCCUCCCUGUCAUUUAAAAACCUACACUUUACCCUCCUAAAAAAUAAAAAAUGUUCAUACGGGCUACGGUGUUAAUAGUAUUGAUAAAAUGACUAAAAUGCCCUCUCCUUCUUCCUCUUCUCCCAUAAUCCUCCUUUAUCUAUAGAAGGGUAUUUUCGGUAUAAAAAAUAUAUAAUAAUGGAAUAUAGAUGGAACCCUAACGGAACACUAACGGCAGGAUCCAAAGUGAAUAUUUUUUAUUUUUUAGUGGGGGCAAAGUAUAGAUUUUUAAAUGACAGAAAGAAAAAGUGAAAAAUCGAAUUUUGAUAGAAAGAUUUUCUGUAAUUUAGCUAAAAAAAAUAAUAAACAAGGGCAAUAUGGUGAAUUCAAGUUGGAGUGAUGCGAAAGAAAAACUUUGUUAAUUAUUGCACUUUUAUUAUAAUAAAAAUAUUUGAUUUGAUAUUAUAUUUGCUACUUACAGUGUCUUAUGUAGUGAAGGCUUUUUAUGCAUCCAAGAGAUGGAUUAAGAAAAUUUUAAAAUUUACUUUGUAUUCAUCGCGCCAACUCCCUACUUAUCGUGACCCCGAAUGCCUCUGAGUUGUUAGAUUUUUUUUUUUUUUUUUCUCUUUCUUAUAUCAGUCUCUUGUAUUAUAUAUUUUAGAUUAAAAUGUAUGAAAUUUAUUUUAUUAUGAAUUAUUUUAAGUUGACCAUCUAAUUUUUCAAUUUACUUGAUUUGUUUCGGUCAAUAGUACUUUAACUUUAAAAUUUGAAUACGUCAAUUAUGUUUACAGGUUUAGUUACUAUACUUCAUGCGAGUCUCACAACUGCAACUUUAUUAAAGUACGCAAAUAACUUAAAUUGAAAGGUUCGGUAAUGAAAUCAAACUUUUAGAAGGUCGGAUAGUCGACUCAAAAUGAUCCAUAGUGCAGAUAAGUUCUGAAUACCAAACUUAGAUGAAGUGAAUCCACGGGAUGAUGGUGAUUGGGAUUUUGCUGAACAAGUUGGGAUGUGAUCUUGUAAAACUCCAUGUUUGGUGUUCAAAAUGGAGCAGCAAAACCUGGAACUACUACAUCUUGCCAUUAGAAUACAAAAGUGGGAAAAGAUUAGCAGAAGAGAUUAUAGCUGUGCUAAGACAGGAUAAAAAGUGAAUAAAGUAAUGGCCUCCACUUAAUAAUGCAGCAGAUGAGUACAUGCAAGAAAAGUACAGCAACACUUUGCUGUUUUUAUAUUGGAAUGUGUUUUUGGCUCAAUGCUUGUGAUUUAGCAAAAGAGGUAAUCAUUUAGUUAUUUGUGUUAUUUAGUGGUGUCAAUGGUGACCACAUGAGCAGAGGGGAUUGGAUUAUUAAUGAUCUAGUCCCCAUUUGGUUUAGAACUUGCUCCUAUUUUGCUACUAAUUAGAAUCUUCAGUUUUGCCCUAUUGCUCCAGCGAUCUUUGCUUCUGCUUUUAGCUAAAGUUAUUUUUAGUAUAAUAUUUAACACACGAAAAAAAAAAAAAUAGAACUUCUGCUGUAGUCGAAAGCUAAAAUAAGAUUUUGAUCAAAUUCGAAUUCUGCUGUAGCAACUGACGUACCUCACAAGGGGGCCAAUAGGCACUAAAGUCAAUUUUAUACUAUCAUUACCCAAACACUUUUUUUUUUUUCUUGUAACAAUUUUUUUACUUUGAGAAGCAACAUUAUGUAGGCAAACAUAGGGGUAAUGCUUUUCCAACAAAAAUCUCUGAGUAUAAGAGAUUUUGGUUCAAUAAUAAUUAGUUAUUAUUAUAGUUUCUUUCAACAGCUUUUGUCUCAUAUAAUUUUUUUUUUGAGAGAAAGAUAUCAUGCUACUCUGAUUUGUUUAUUUCUCUUAAAAAUAAACUUAACUUAAAAUGUAAAGAAACCAGACUUCGAACUUGCGACCUCGGGUACCAACCACCAAUUUUUUUACCUCUUGUGUUAGGGACGGUCGGUUGUCUCAUAUAAUAUUUUGAGCCCUUUGUUUGGAUGUAUAGGGCAUAUUUAUUAUAAUAUAGCCUAUGCUUUAAAAAAUGUUCAUUAGAAUGAGAUGGUAUUUCCAUUUUUUUUUUUGUUUUUUUUUGGUGAAAGAUGAAUCACUUCUGAGGAGAAGUAUACAAUGCCCAUAAAUAUUGGAUAAUUAAGUUCUUGAAGCUCAUAGGAUUCUCCGUUUAGGUUCUUCACUAUUAAUUCUGUUCUUUAUAAUUUGGCUCUUCAAAAGAUUCUCAACAACAAGUUGAGGAUUUUUUUUUUUUUUAUUAUCAAAGUUAGAAUAGUAUAUGAGCCUAAAAACAUCUGAAAUAUUCUCCCAGGAAGAGACAAUUAUGUAACAGGGAUAUUUAGCCUACCAUUCAUCACUUGAAAUGUGUGAAAGGAUGAUGUAUUAGCUAUAAUGUAUGGCACAUCAAUAGGAGGUCUCUUCUGUGUUACUUUGUGUUUUGGUGCACAAGGGCUCUACAUUCUAAUACUAAUAGCUUGGACUUAAAAAUUUGGACCGAUUGUUUAGACCCAACAUAUUACUAUUACAAGUGGGCUGAAUCGUUAUAUUUGGUAUUCGAGUCAAAUUGCAAGUCAAAAGCGUAGACUAGGUUUCACGUAACCUAGUUUUUUUUUUUUUUUUUUUUUUUUUUUUGAGAAAAGAUAGCACGCUAUCCGCUUCAUUCAUUAAGUGAGUUGAAUUAAGCAUACACGAUGGAAACAGCCAAGGCCUCCUGAAAAAAGCGAGAAAAAACAGAGCGUGAGAGGAAAAAAAAGAGAAAAGAAAAAGAAAAAGAAGAAGUUACGUCGACAAAAGUUCAGUGCGGGCAACCGAAGUUCAGCUAUCUAGUGUUGACCAAGAUCGAUCCAUUAUUGCCUCAGUGAUUUGAUCCGUUCUAGCAUAUAGUAAGGUGUGGUGUAUUUUGCUCUGAAAAUGAUGUUGUUCAUUUCGGUCCAGACUACCCACCAGAUAGCUGCGAGAAGGGUUAGUUUUUUAUUUCUCUUCUUGGCGUUUUCGAAGCAUAGACAUCUUUUCCAGAGUCCCCGGGCCGCCUCUGUAGGCUCAGUUAAAAUGUCAAGUUCUUCCAAAACUAGUAGUAAAUAUAUAAAUAACACACAAGUAGUGAAGAGGUGAUCGCAAGUUUCCAUGCCAUAGGCACAGAAAACGCAAAGUUGCUCUCCGAGCAACUCCCGUUUGAAAAGCCUAUCUGCUGUGAGAAUGCUCUCACAUCACUUGGUUAUUAUCUGUAUUAUACCACCGACUCUUCUUACGAGAAUGUCUGGGUCCAAACGAGUUGAGUUUGUGACUUCCUAAUAGUUAUGAAACGUCAACGUCUAAAUAGAAAGAUUUAAUAGUGUUUCUUCUGAUAGUACUUCUGUGAUAGCACUUCACCAUGUAACACUUUAUUCUAUAACAGGGUUAAGUAGGACCAUAACAUGCAAGAGUAUCUCCACACAUCAACUCAACUUUCUAAAUUGUUUUAAGCCUUUAAAUAACAUGCAAGAGUAUUUAAGAGCCUUUGGUCUCAUCAAUAGCCCACAAACAAAAGAGGGUUCCACAUUUUUUUUUUUUUUUUCCUCUAUACUUAUCCCAAUCCCCUAUUUUAGUUUUGUUCAAUCUCAAACUUCUUUACAGCUAGGUCAGUAGCUAACCAUUGGAUCAUCACCAACCACUAUCAUAAGAACCCUUUUGACUCCUCGAAUUGGAGCAGAUAGGAGAAGACGAAAUAAUAAUAUUGGGAUAUAAGGAUUUUAGCAACUAUGAGGCGUCGCUAAUCAUAAAAGAUUGGCAUGCCAAAUCCAUUAUUUGAUUUCAUCUAGCGUUCGUGAUUGGACAAGAUUGGGUUCGGAAAUUUGUUCAUACUCCAGAAGCUCACCCCCGUUGUGUUUUUUUUUUUUUUUUUUUUUUUUUGACGUUCGACACCUUCAAGCGGUAAAUGCUCCAAUUUGUUUUUUCAAAUAGUAGUCUCUUAUUUUAUUCUAUCUAAACCAAUUUUAGAUGCCAAAUCAGCAUAAAGAUUUUUUUCUCAUUAAUCAUUGAGGUAUUUUCUUCUUGAGUUAAUGAAAAUUCAUCUAAUUCACAAGAGUGUCAUUACAUACUGUACAGCCGUCCGGCGAAUUAUAUUAUUUUUCGAGUACUUCGGAAGGACUAGUUACGCCUAAUAGAUUUAGGGUUUACGGUUUAGGAUUUAUGCUAAAAAGUAUUUACCAUGUGCCACAUUUUAAGGACAUAGCUUGGCCGCAACCCUGACUAAGGCUAUUAUUUGUAAAGCCCCCAAUAGUCCCACAUCGGAUGGGAUAAUGAUUCCGAUCUGUUUAUAUGAGGCUUACAUGCUAGUAAUAAUAACUUAGCUUAAGCAUUUUGAGCUGGUGAUUUGGAUCCAACGAGUUAUUGUUGCUAGUGAGUCGGCUCAUUGCAUUUGGUAUCAGAGUGGAAUACCUGCCGGAAGUGUGAGAGCUAAGUGCUAUGCGGGACCCGACGAGGACAUGCUAAUAAUAAUAACUGGGCUUAAAGCAUUUUGAACCGGUUGUUUAGAUCCGACGAGUUUUUGUUGCUGGUGAGUCGGAUCGUUACAUUUGAUAUCAGAGCCGAAUACCAGUUGGAAGUGUAAAAGCUAAGUGCUAUGCGGGACAAAGUGCUACACCAACGGAUUUGGUGGGAGCCACCUCUUGAACCCGUAGGAGUCACCUCUAGAAUCUCACAUCGCCUGAUAAUUCUGGUCCUGAUCUGCCUGUCUGUGAUCUGAUUUGGACACGACGAGAACGAGAACGUCAGGUUCUAAACAGGGGGAGUUUGUAACGCCCCCAAUAGCCCCACAUCGGAUGGGAUACUGAUUCCAAUCAGUUUAUAUGAGACCUACUCGCUAGUAAUAAUAACCGGACUUAAGCAUUUUGGGCCGAUGAUUUGAGCUCAGUGAAUUAUUAUUGCUAGCGGAUCGGGUUGUUGCAUUAUUAACACCAAUAGAGAAGUAUCAUAGAGACCAUAUCGGGUUGUUGCAUUAUUAACACCAAUAGAGAAAGUAUCGUAGAGACCAUUUAAGUACUAAAGGUGUCUCGCACUAAGGAAAAUGUUCCUCUAAAGUAUAUUUUCCCAAUACGAAAAAUAAAAAAAAAUAUUCAUAACAAGAAAUUCCAAACAUCCCUAGUGAUUGUUUCAAAUUGCAUUCUGUGCCUUAGCUGUAGUUCAAUGAAAGCACCACUAGCAUCUGACCUGAAUCAAAUGUACUUAUAUUUGUUCCCAUACUAAUGGGUCCAACCCAGCAUCUAAAUAUUGAUAUGAACCAAUUGUGUGGGUGCCAAAAGAAUAAGGUGGGACCUAUUGUUCUAGCCAUUAGUAACAUGGGUGUUUUUUUUGUUUUUUGUUUUUUGUUUUCCUUUUCUCAUGGCAAUGGAUUGCAUUUCUUGUUGGAACACACCGCAAAACAGAUUAAGAUCAUAGUUAUUGAUUUUGUUUGAGUUUAACAUUUUCGCUUUACCAUUUAGUUAUGUAGCCUCAAAAUCAAAAGUUUCAAAGUAGCAACAUAUAUUGUAGUUGUAAAUCUAUUAUUUCAAUGAACCAUCUUUUUUGUUAUAUUGUUCUAUAUCUAACUAUCAUAUCAGAAAUACACAAUAGAAGUCUCAAAGUGGUCUCAGCUGAACUUCUCACUAGAAAAUCAUUGAAAUCCGACCUAGUCUGACACGUUGUGUCAAGAACUUAAUUUUAUUUAUACAGUUUUGAAUUUCUAAAUAUAUUAGAUAUAUUGAAGCGCAUCCAAGUAAAAAGGUGAAUGUAUUGCCAAUUAUCAACCUAGACUCUUUUUUAGGAGGGUUGAAAAGCAAG
This 8863-nucleotide long non-coding RNA is filed under the name Ananas comosus (pineapple). RNAcentral's name for it is "long non-coding RNA (ACOM_LNC015546)". Lineage: Eukaryota; Viridiplantae; Streptophyta; Magnoliopsida; Poales; Bromeliaceae. The record is from RNAcentral.